AAACCCCCUUGAAGACGACGAGGUAGAUAGGGCAGAGGUGGAAGUGCAGUAAUGCAUGGAGCUGACUGUUACUAAUCGGGUGAGGGCUUGACCAAG
RNAcentral lists this ribosomal RNA (96 nucleotides) under Ruminococcus sp. AF41-9. Its description in RNAcentral is "partial 23S ribosomal RNA". It matches the Rfam family "Bacterial large subunit ribosomal RNA", at positions 2830 to 2925 of the family's 2925-position model. Lineage: Bacteria; Bacillati; Bacillota; Clostridia; Eubacteriales; Oscillospiraceae. The record is from RNAcentral.